Bombyx mori (domestic silkworm) is the source of this 695-nucleotide long non-coding RNA. RefSeq lists it as uncharacterized. NCBI's taxonomy places the organism in Eukaryota, Metazoa, Arthropoda, Insecta, Lepidoptera, Bombycidae. The transcript has 3 exons. The record is from RefSeq and is a predicted model, not a curated record.
UCCAUCGAUAAAUUUGACACUGAACUCUACGACAGCGAAAUAUAAUAAUCACUAAUCCCAAUGGACGCACAUGAUAGAUUGACGGGCUAAUGUAACGGACUAAGUUCACUUAUGAUAGAUUACAAUGUUUUUAAGGAGAGUGCGUGCGCUCAAUACCCAAACAUUAUGAGCUGCUCUGUCCUUGCUUCUUUAUGUUGUCAUACCUGUGUGAACCAGACUACGACCGGAAUCCAAUACUGCACUGUAUCAGACAUAUAGUCAGACUCACCUUAAUACCUGCAGUCAACGACUCCACGACAACCACACCCGACGAUGAAGACACGUCCACUACAGUUGGUGAUCAUCCCUGAAUACGCCAGGCCUGAAAACUCAUUAAAGUAGUACAUAUUGUCAGUGAUAACGAUGAAUGAUGAAAGACACCUGUAACUCGGAUGUGUCAUGCAUAGUGAGUUCAGUUCGGUACCGGUGAGCAGUGAGAUUAUUUACUGAUUUAUAUACUAAAUAAAUAAAGUUCUGAGUCCAUUCGGCUGACACCAUUGCUCUUUCUAUUUCGGCCGUGAAACGUUGCAGUCUGAAGGCUGAUGCCUCAAAACGGUCUCACGAUUGGAAAUCUGGAUAUGGAUUAUACGGAAACAGAAAUAAUGCGAUUUUUAUAACAAAAAAAAAGAAAUGUAAUGAAAUAUAAUUUGGGUAAG